UACGGAGGAUGCGAGCGUUAUCCGGAUUUAUUGGGUUUAAAGGGUUCGUAGGCGGCCAAUUAAGUCAGCGGUGAAAUACCGGCGCUCAACGCCGGGGCUGCCGUUGAUACUGACUGGCUCGAUUCUGGGCGACGGUGGCGGAAUGUGACAAGUAGCGGUGAAAUGCAUAGAUAUGUCACAGAACACCGAUAGCGAAGGCAGCUGCCGAGCCAAGGAAUGACGCUGAGGAACGAAAGCGUGGGGAUCAAACAGG
Molecule: ribosomal RNA, 253 nt
Filed under: uncultured bacterium
Lineage: Bacteria
Description: partial 16S ribosomal RNA
Rfam family: Bacterial small subunit ribosomal RNA
Source: RNAcentral